UCUCCGUUGGUGAACCAGCGGAGGGAUCAUUACCGAGUUGUACUACUCCCAAACCCCUGGGAACUAAUACCUUUUCUCUUGCUUCGGGGGGUUAACGCCCCUGAAGGACUAAAAAGCCGCCGGAACCAGGCGGCCGUCGGGGGAACUAAGCUCUUGGAUUUCUUACUUUGCAUGUAUGAGUGGAAACAUAAACAAAUAAAGCAAAACUUUCAACAACGGAUCUCUUGGUUCUG
This 233-nucleotide unclassified non-coding RNA is filed under the name plant metagenome. Its description in RNAcentral is "partial contains small subunit ribosomal RNA, internal transcribed spacer 1, and 5.8S ribosomal RNA". The record is from RNAcentral.